UACGUAGGUCGCAAGCGUUAUCCGGAUUUACUGGGCGUAAAGCGUCCGCAGCCUGUUUUGUAAGUCGAUUUUUAAAUCCCGGAGCUCAACUUCGGACAGGGAAUCGAUACUGCAUUACUAGAGUACUUUAGAGGUAAGUAGAAUUUCAGGUGGAGGGGUGAAAUCCGUUGAUAUCUGAAGGAAUGCCAAAAGCGAAAGCAGCUUACUAUAAUUUUACUGACGGUCCUGGACGACAGUAUGGGUAGCAAACGGG
RNAcentral lists this ribosomal RNA (253 nucleotides) under uncultured bacterium. Its description in RNAcentral is "partial 16S ribosomal RNA". It matches the Rfam family "Bacterial small subunit ribosomal RNA", at positions 524 to 776 of the family's 1533-position model. The record is from RNAcentral.